Molecule: long non-coding RNA, 664 nt
Organism: Myxocyprinus asiaticus (Chinese sucker)
Lineage: Eukaryota; Metazoa; Chordata; Actinopteri; Cypriniformes; Catostomidae
Exons: 2
Source: RefSeq, a predicted model, not a curated record
CGCUGUUUACAAGUGAGGAGGAGGAAGGCUGUACAGUAUCUUGGUUGAUUUUGGUUUAGAUCUGUUUUUAUCUGUUUCUUUACUCACAAUGAUGUGUUUGUGUGUUUAUCCUGGAUGUCUCAACCAAGUGGAGAACGUGAGAGUACCUCGGUAUCCAUGGCAAUGAGAAAGCAUCACAAGAGAGACCGCUUGGACUCCACCAUCUCCUGAAGCAUUGGAUUAUAGUUAAAAACUAGGCUGGGGUCAGAGUGCAGGGUCAGCCAUGAUAUGGCACCCCUGGAGCAGAUAGGGUCAAGGGCCUUGCUCAGGGGCCCAACAGUGGCAUCUUGGUGGUGCUGGGGCUUGAACCCCUGACCUUCUGAUCAGUAACCCAGAGCCUUAACUGCUGAGCUACCACUGCCCCCACUGUUAAGGACCUACUGAGCUAAGAAAUGUUUCUUUUUUUCUUCAAAUGUUUUCUGGUGAAGAAAGAAAGUCAUACCAAAGUCUUUCUAGCAAGUCAGUCUGCUGCCAUCAUUGGAAAGCUCUCGGGAGGCUAUUUCCAGUCAAGACAGUGCAGCUCCCAUCUACUUGAAUGGAGAAAGACCAAAAUCUCUAAAACGAUUGGUCAAGAUUACGAUCAAAGAAUAUUUCAAAUCAGCAAUAAAAUCUGACAAUACUUGCA